UCAUGAUAACUUAACGAAUCGCAUGGCCUUGCGCCGGAAUGGUUCAUUCAAAUUUCUGCCCUAUCAACUUUCGAUGGUAGGAUAGUGGCCUACCAUGGUAUCAACGGGUAACGGGGAAUUAGGGUUCUAUUCCGGAGAGGGAGCCUGAGAAACGGCUACCACAUCCAAGGAAGGCAGCAGGCGCGCAAAUUACCCAAUCCCGACACGGGGAGGUAGUGACAAUAAAUACUGAUACAGGGCUCUUUUGGGUCUUGUAAUUGGAAUGAGAACAAUUUAAAUCCCUUAACGAGGAACAAUUGGAGGGCAAGUCUGGUGCCAGCAGCCGCGGUAAUUCCAGCUCCAAUAGCGUAUACUAAAGUUGUUGCAGUUAAAAAGCUCGUAGUUGAACCUUGGGUCUGGGUGACCGGUCUGCCUCACCGAUGCACUGGGAACCCGGACCUUUCCUUCUGGCAAACCUCAUGCCCUUCACUGGGUGUGUAGGGGAACCAGGACUUUUACUUUGAAAAAAUUAGAGUGUUCCAAAGCAGGCA
RNAcentral lists this ribosomal RNA (530 nucleotides) under uncultured fungus. RNAcentral describes it as "SSU rRNA". It matches the Rfam family "Eukaryotic small subunit ribosomal RNA", at positions 251 to 786 of the family's 1831-position model. Lineage: Eukaryota; Fungi. The record is from RNAcentral.